AGGACUUAGCCAAAUUUCAACCUUUUUCACCAUUUCUUCUCCGUUUUCGCUCGUUUGACUUCCGAUUCGUCUCAAAUCGAACCGAGACUCUCCAAACAUGUUUCCAAACAUGUUUUAAUCAUCUUUCCAUCCUCGCUAAUGCCGGAUUUAGCUCACGGCCCAACAUAGCCUUUCGGCUCCGUUUUAACGCCUACGCGCACCGAAACGCCCGAAUGCUUCCGGGCCUCACCGAACUUCACCGGAACCUUUCAAAUGGUCUUCCAACCAAAUGUACACCGUAACUUCAUGAUUUUAGAAGUCCGAUACCUUACAUCCUCCCCUCCUUAAUAAGAGUUUCGUCCUCGAAACUAACUCUCCUCAAACCCAAAUCACACCCUAAUUCUCUUUAUUGAGUGACA
Molecule: long non-coding RNA, 398 nt
Filed under: Ananas comosus (pineapple)
Lineage: Eukaryota; Viridiplantae; Streptophyta; Magnoliopsida; Poales; Bromeliaceae
Description: long non-coding RNA (ACOM_LNC041276)
Source: RNAcentral